GGGUUGUGAGGUUAAGCGACUAAGCGUACACGGUGGAUGCCCUGGCAGUCAGAGGCGAUGAAGGACGUGCUAAUCUGCGAAAAGCGUCGGUAAGGUGAUAUGAACCGUUAUAACCGGCGAUGUCCGAAUGGGGAAACCCAGUGCAAUUCGUUGCACUAUCGUUAACUGAAUACAUAGGUUAACGAGGCGAACCGGGGGAACUGAAACAUCUAAGUACCCCGAGGAAAAGAAAUCAACCGAGAUUCCCCCAGUAGCGGCGAGCGAACGGGAGCAGCCCAGAGUCUGAAUCAGCUUGUGUUAGUGGAACGGUCUGGAAAGUCCGACGGUACAGGGUGAUAGUCCCGUACACCAAAAUGCACAGGCUCGAACGGGACACGUCCUGGAAUAUGUCCGGCUAGGUACCAGGGUGGUCCCUAAAAGAAAAUGGGCGAGAUAGUGAAAGAACCUGAAAUACUCUGACUGACCGAUAGUGAACCAGUACCGUGAGGAAAGGCGAAAAGAACCCCGGCGAGGGAGUGAAAAAGAACCUGAAACCGUGUACGUACAAGCAGUGGGAGCACCUUCGGGUGUGACUGCGUACCUUUUGUAUAAUGGGUCAGCGACUUAUAUUCUGUAGCAAGGUUAACCGUAUAGGGGAGCCGCAGGGAAACCGAGUCUUAACUGGGCGUUAAGUUGCAGGGUAUAGACCCGAAACCCGGUGAUCUAGCCAUGGGCAGGUUGAAGGUUGGGUAACACUAACUGGAGGACCGAACCGACUAAUGUUGAAAAAUUAGCGGAUGACUUGUGGCUGGGGGUGAAAGGCCAAUCAAACCGGGAGAUAGCUGGUUCUCCCCGAAAGCUAUUUAGGUAGCGCCUCGUGAACUCAUCUUCGGGGGUAGAGCACUGUUUCGGCUAGGGGGUCAUCCCGACUUACCAACCCGAUGCAAACUACGAAUACCGAAGAAUGUUAUCACGGGAGACACACGGCGGGUGCUAACGUCCGUCGUGAAGAGGGAAACAACCCAGACCGCCAGCUAAGGUCCCAAAGUCAUGGUUAAGUGGGAAACGAUGUGGGAAGGCACAGACAGCCAGGAUGUUGGCUUAGAAGCAGCCAUCAUUUAAAGAAAGCGUAAUAGCUCACUGGUCGAGUCGGCCUGCGCGGAAGAUGUAACGGGGCUAAACCAUGCACCGAAGCUGCGGCAGCGACACUAUGUGUUGUUGGGUAGGGGAGCGUUCUGUAAGCCUGCGAAGGUGUGCUGUGAGGCAUGCUGGAGGUAUCAGAAGUGCGAAUGCUGACAUAAGUAACGAUAAAGCGGGUGAAAAGCCCGCUCGCCGGAAGACCAAGGGUUCCUGUCCAACGUUAAUCGGGGCAGGGUGAGUCGACCCCUAAGGCGAGGCCGAAAGGCGUAGUCGAUGGGAAACAGGUUAAUAUUCCUGUACUUGGUGUUACUGCGAAGGGGGGACGGAGAAGGCUAUGUUAGCCGGGCGACGGUUGUCCCGGUUUAAGCAUGUAGGCUGGUUAUCCAGGCAAAUCCGGAUAAUCAAGGCUGAGGUGUGAUGACGAGGCACUACGGUGCUGAAGUAACAAAUGCCCUGCUUCCAGGAAAAGCCUCUAAGCAUCAGGUAACAUCAAAUCGUACCCCAAACCGACACAGGUGGUCAGGUAGAGAAUACCAAGGCGCUUGAGAGAACUCGGGUGAAGGAACUAGGCAAAAUGGUGCCGUAACUUCGGGAGAAGGCACGCUGGUGUGUAGGUGAAGUCCCUGCGGAUGGAGCUGAGACCAGUCGAAGAUACCAGCUGGCUGCAACUGUUUAUUAAAAACACAGCACUGUGCAAACACGAAAGUGGACGUAUACGGUGUGACGCCUGCCCGGUGCCGGAAGGUUAAUUGAUGGGGUUAUCCGUAAGGAGAAGCUCUUGAUCGAAGCCCCGGUAAACGGCGGCCGUAACUAUAACGGUCCUAAGGUAGCGAAAUUCCUUGUCGGGUAAGUUCCGACCUGCACGAAUGGCGUAAUGAUGGCCAGGCUGUCUCCACCCGAGACUCAGUGAAAUUGAACUCGCUGUGAAGAUGCAGUGUACCCGCGGCAAGACGGAAAGACCCCGUGAACCUUUACUAUAGCUUGACACUGAACAUUGAGCCUUGAUGUGUAGGAUAGGUGGGAGGCUUUGAAGCGUGGACGCCAGUCUGCGUGGAGCCAACCUUGAAAUACCACCCUUUAAUGUUUGAUGUUCUAACGUUGGCCUUACCGGGGUUGCGGACAGUGUCUGGUGGGUAGUUUGACUGGGGCGGUCUCCUCCCAAAGCGUAACGGAGGAGCACGAAGGUUAGCUAAUCCUGGUCGGACAUCAGGAGGUUAGUGCAAUGGCAUAAGCUAGCUUGACUGCGAGCGUGACGGCGCGAGCAGGUGCGAAAGCAGGUCAUAGUGAUCCGGUGGUUCUGAAUGGAAGGGCCAUCGCUCAACGGAUAAAAGGUACUCCGGGGAUAACAGGCUGAUACCGCCCAAGAGUUCAUAUCGACGGCGGUGUUUGGCACCUCGAUGUCGGCUCAUCACAUCCUGGGGCUGAAGUAGGUCCCAAGGGUAUGGCUGUUCGCCAUUUAAAGUGGUACGCGAGCUGGGUUUAGAACGUCGUGAGACAGUUCGGUCCCUAUCUGCCGUGGGCGCUGGAGAAUUGAGGGGGGCUGCUCCUAGUACGAGAGGACCGGAGUGGACGCAUCACUGGUGUUCGGGUUGUCAUGCCAAUGGCACUGCCCGGUAGCUAAAUGCGGAAGAGAUAAGUGCUGAAAGCAUCUAAGCACGAAACUUGCCCCGAGAUGAGUUCUCCCUGAGACUUUAAGUCUCCUGAAGGAACGUUAAAGACGAUGACGUUGAUAGGCCGGGUGUGUAAGCGCAGCGAUGCGUUGAGCUAACCGGUACUAAUGAACCGUGAGGCUUAACCUUACAACGCCGAAG
Molecule: ribosomal RNA, 2930 nt
Filed under: Klebsiella pneumoniae
Lineage: Bacteria; Pseudomonadati; Pseudomonadota; Gammaproteobacteria; Enterobacterales; Enterobacteriaceae
Description: bacterial LSU rRNA
Rfam family: Bacterial large subunit ribosomal RNA
Source: RNAcentral